RNAcentral lists this ribosomal RNA (468 nucleotides) under uncultured bacterium. RNAcentral's name for it is "partial 16S ribosomal RNA". It matches the Rfam family "Bacterial small subunit ribosomal RNA", at positions 28 to 507 of the family's 1533-position model. The record is from RNAcentral.
GACGAACGCUGGCGGCGUGCUUAACACAUGCAAGUCGAACGGAAAGGCCCUGCUUUUGUGGGGUGCUCGAGUGGCGAACGGGUGAGUAACACGUGAGUAACCUGCCCUUGACUUUGGGAUAACUUCAGGAAACUGGGGCUAAUACCGGAUAGGAGCUCCUGCUGCAUGGUGGGGGUUGGAAAGUUUCGGCGGUUGGGGAUGGACUCGCGGCUUAUCAGCUUGUUGGUGGGGUAGUGGCUUACCAAGGCUUUGACGGGUAGCCGGCCUGAGAGGGUGACCGGCCACAUUGGGACUAAGGGACGGCCCAGACUCCUACGGGCGGCAGCAGUGGGGAAUAUUGCACAGUGGGCGGAAGCCUGAUACAGCAACGCCGCGUGCGUGAUGACGGCCUUCGGGUUGUAAACCGCUUUCGCCUGUGACGAAGCGUGAGUGACGGUAAUGGGUAAAGAAGCACCGGCUAACUACGUG